GUGCAGCAGGCGAGAAUUUUUCUCAAUGGGGGAAACCCUGAAGGAGCGACGCCGCGUGGAGGAUGAAGGCUUUCGGGUUGUAAACUCCUGUCAUUUGAGAACAAGUGGCCGAACGUAACUACUUCGGCCUUGAUAGUAUCAGAAGAGGAAGGGACGGCUAACUCUGUGCCAGCAGCCGCGGUAAUACAGAGGUCUCAAGCGUUGUUCGGAUUCAUUGGGCGUAAAGGGUGCGUAGGUGGCGCCGUAAGUCAGGUGUGAAAUUUCGGAGCUUAACUCCGAAACUGCAUUUGAUACUGCGGUGCUUGAGGACUGGAGAGGAGACUGGAAUUUACGGUGUAGCAGUGAAAUGCGUAGAGAUCGUAAGGAAGACCAGUGGCGAAGCGGGUCUCUGGACAGUUCCUGACACUGAGGCACGAAGGCCAGGGGAGCAAACGGGAUUAGAUACCCCUGUAGU
This 454-nucleotide ribosomal RNA is filed under the name uncultured organism. RNAcentral describes it as "bacterial SSU rRNA". It matches the Rfam family "Bacterial small subunit ribosomal RNA", at positions 346 to 794 of the family's 1533-position model. The record is from RNAcentral.